Molecule: ribosomal RNA, 253 nt
Filed under: uncultured bacterium
Lineage: Bacteria
Description: partial 16S ribosomal RNA
Rfam family: Bacterial small subunit ribosomal RNA
Source: RNAcentral
UACGUAUGGUGCAAGCGUUAUCCGGAUUUACUGGGCGUGAAGGGAGCGCAGGCGGCGCGCCAAGUCUGAUGUGAGACCCCGGGGCUCGACCCCGGGCAUGCAUUGGAAACUGGCGGGCUGGAGUGCCGGAGAGGUAAGCGGAAUUCCUAGUGUAGCGGUGAAAUGCGUAGAUAUUAGGAGGAACACCAGUGGCGAAGGCGGCUUACUGGACGGCAACUGACGCUGAGGCUCGAAAGCGUGGGGAGCAAACAGG